Non-coding RNA from Rattus norvegicus (Norway rat), 69 nucleotides. NCBI's taxonomy places the organism in Eukaryota, Metazoa, Chordata, Mammalia, Rodentia, Muridae. The record is from Rfam.
GGGGAUUUGGCUCAGUGGUAGAGCGCUUGCCUAGCGAGCACAAGACCCUGGGUUCGGUCCCCAGCUCCG